This 327-nucleotide ribosomal RNA is filed under the name uncultured bacterium. Its description in RNAcentral is "bacterial SSU rRNA". It matches the Rfam family "Bacterial small subunit ribosomal RNA", at positions 8 to 334 of the family's 1533-position model. The record is from RNAcentral.
AGGGUUCGAUUAUGGCUCAGGAUGAACGCUGGCGGCGUGCUUAACACAUGCAAGUCGAACGAUUAACCCGUCUUCGGACGGUUAUAAAGUGGCGAACGGGUGAGUAACACGUGACCAACCUGCCUCUUACAUUGGGAUAACUCAAAGAAAUUUGAGCUAAUACCAAAUACUCCGAGAACCUCGCAUGAGGUACUCGGGAAAGCUUUUGCGGUAAGAGAUGGGGUCGCGGCCUAUUAGGUAGUUGGUGGGGUAACGGCCUACCAAGCCUACGAUAGGUAGCCGGGUUGAGAGACCGACCGGCCACAUUGGGACUGAGAUACGGCCCAG